UACGUAGGUGGCAAGCGUUGUCCGGAAUUACUGGGUGUAAAGGGAGCGUAGGCGGGAAUUCAAGUUGGGUGUGAAAUGUACAGGCUUAACCUGUGAGCUGCACCCAAAACUGGGUUUCUUGAGUGAUGUAGAGGCAGGCGGAAUUCCUAGUGUAGCGGUGAAAUGCGUAGAUAUUAGGAGGAACACCAGUGGCGAAGGCGGCCUGCUGGGCAUUAACUGACGCUGAGGCUCGAAAGCGUGGGGAGCAAACAGG
RNAcentral lists this ribosomal RNA (253 nucleotides) under uncultured bacterium. RNAcentral's name for it is "partial 16S ribosomal RNA". It matches the Rfam family "Bacterial small subunit ribosomal RNA", at positions 524 to 776 of the family's 1533-position model. The record is from RNAcentral.